CCCGCCGACUUUGUUUGGCGGCAAGAGGACUUCCAAGACCGCCAUUUCCCGGGAGUCGUAUUCGUCAAAUGCACCUCGUGUUUGACAAUAGAUAUAGGGGCGCCUACGGGACCGGCUUAUAUGGUCUUCGUGGCCCUUUACGCUCGGGUUGAUGGACGGUUGGUGGGACCCUUGCAGCUGUAUGAUGAUGGGCCGGGGCAGGGUGGUAAUCCUGCGGAGUAGGAGGUGCAGAGAGGUGCUGGACGUGUGGGAGGAUUUUUGGUUUUGAUUGUUUAACAACAUGUAUAUAACAAAUGAGAGGCGAAAUAGUUAGUGUUCGUGGUAUAUAGUGUUUUUUUGUAGAAAUUCCCCUCUCAAUCUCAUCUUCCCCACGUGUAAAUAAAGAAACCAAGUUUAUAACAAAUAGAGCCGAG
Molecule: long non-coding RNA, 413 nt
Filed under: Eucalyptus grandis
Lineage: Eukaryota; Viridiplantae; Streptophyta; Magnoliopsida; Myrtales; Myrtaceae
Description: long non-coding RNA (EGRA_LNC000668)
Source: RNAcentral